RNAcentral lists this ribosomal RNA (222 nucleotides) under uncultured bacterium. Its description in RNAcentral is "partial 16S ribosomal RNA". It matches the Rfam family "Bacterial small subunit ribosomal RNA", at positions 128 to 334 of the family's 1533-position model. The record is from RNAcentral.
CGCCUUCAGAGGGGGACAACAGUUGGAAACGACUGCUAAUACCGCAUACGAUCUGACCUCGGCAUCGAGGAUGGAUGAAAGGUGGCCUCUAUUUAUAAGCUAUCACUGAAGGAGGGGAUUGCGUCUGAUUAGCUAGUUGGAGGGGUAACGGCCCACCAAGGCGAUGAUCAGUAGCCGGUCUGAGAGGAUGAACGGCCACAUUGGGACUGAGACACGGCCCAG